UUUAGGUGAAAGUGCCUGUGCUCUCAUUAGCUCCAUGGGAAGGCUCCAGGAGGCUGACCUGAAUGACAUACAUCAGUGAACUCCUUUGGCCUCUGUCAGACCCACCAAAUCAGAAAAUCUUACACUCCUACAAGAAAUUCAUGGUAAGAUGAAAGAGCCACAUCUGGGGCUGGGCACCUGCAGGCACAGACCCAUUCACCUGCC
This 204-nucleotide long non-coding RNA is filed under the name Homo sapiens (human). RNAcentral describes it as "HSALNT0328960". Lineage: Eukaryota; Metazoa; Chordata; Mammalia; Primates; Hominidae. The record is from RNAcentral.